This 245-nucleotide ribosomal RNA is filed under the name uncultured bacterium. Its description in RNAcentral is "partial 16S ribosomal RNA". It matches the Rfam family "Bacterial small subunit ribosomal RNA", at positions 524 to 768 of the family's 1533-position model. The record is from RNAcentral.
UACAGAGGGGGCGAGCGUUAUUCGGAAUUAUUGGGCGUAAAGGGCGCGUAGGCGGUGCUUUAAGUCGGAUGUGUAAUCCCCGGGCUUAACCUGGGAACUGCAUCCGAGACUGGAGUGCUGGAGUGCUGGAGAGGGUGGUGGAAUUCCUCGUGUAGCGGUGAAGUGCGUAGAGAUGAGGAGGAACACCAGUGGCGAAGGCGGCCACCUGGACAGUAACUGACGCUGAGGCGCGAAAGUGUGGGGAG